RNAcentral lists this ribosomal RNA (292 nucleotides) under uncultured bacterium. RNAcentral describes it as "partial 16S ribosomal RNA". It matches the Rfam family "Bacterial small subunit ribosomal RNA", at positions 505 to 796 of the family's 1533-position model. The record is from RNAcentral.
GUGUCAGCAGCCGCGGUAAUACGUAGGGGGCAAGCGUUGUCCGGAUUUAUUGGGCGUAAAGCGCGCGUAGGCGGCUUGGUAUGUCGUGCGUGAAAUCUCCCGGCUUAACUGGGAGGGGCCGUGCGAAACUGCCGGGCUUGAGGUCAGAAGGGGAAAGUGGAAUUCCGGGUGUAGUGGUGGAAUACGUAGAUAUCCGGAGGAACACCAGCGGCGAAGGCGGCUUUCUGGUCUGAUACUGACGCUGAGGCGCGAAAGCGUGGGGAGCGAUCCGGAUUAGAUACCCCCGUAGUCC